RNAcentral lists this ribosomal RNA (253 nucleotides) under uncultured bacterium. Its description in RNAcentral is "partial 16S ribosomal RNA". It matches the Rfam family "Bacterial small subunit ribosomal RNA", at positions 524 to 776 of the family's 1533-position model. The record is from RNAcentral.
UACAGAGAGUGCGAGCGUUAAUCGGAAUUACUGGGCGUAAAGCGCACGUAGGUGGAUUCUUAAGUCGGAUGUGAAAUCCCUGGGCUUAACCUAGGAAUUGCAUUCGAUACUGGGUAUCUUGAAUAUGGUAGAGGGAAGUGGAAUUUCCGGUGUAGCGGUGAAAUGCGUAGAUAUCGGAAGGAACAUCAGUGGCGAAAGCGGCUUCCUGGACCAAUAUUGACACUUAGGUGCGAAAGCGUGGGGAGCAAACAGG